RNAcentral lists this ribosomal RNA (474 nucleotides) under Hypera postica (alfalfa weevil). RNAcentral describes it as "partial 16S ribosomal RNA". It matches the Rfam family "Bacterial large subunit ribosomal RNA", at positions 1828 to 2566 of the family's 2925-position model. Lineage: Eukaryota; Metazoa; Arthropoda; Insecta; Coleoptera; Curculionidae. The record is from RNAcentral.
CUUUUGAAAAUAAUUUAAGGUCUAACCUGCCCACUGAGGAUUUAAAUGGCCGCGGUACUCUGACCGUGCAAAGGUAGCAUAAUCAUUAGUUUUUUAAUUGAAAGCUGGAAUGAAAGGUUGCAUGAAAAAAUAGCUGUCUCUAUUUAAUUUUUUUAGAAAUUUAUUUUUAAGUAAAAAAGCUUAAAUAAUAUUUGAAGACGAGAAGACCCUAUAGAGUUUUAUUAUUUUUUAUUUAAAAAUUAUUGGUAUUUAGUUAUUUUAUAUAAUAAAAUAAUUUAGUUGGGGUGAUUGAUAAAUUUAAUUAUCUUUUUUUAUAUUUUUACAUUUAUUUAUGAAUUUUUGAUCCUUUAUUAAAGAUUAAAAGAUAAAAUUACCUUAGGGAUAACAGCGUAAUUUUUUUUAAGAGUUCYAAUCGAAAAAWAAGAUUGCNNCCUCGAUGUUGGAUUAAAAUAAAAUUUUGGUGUAGCAGCUAAA